AGGCCAAAAGGGUUCAUAGUUUUUUAGAUCUAGUUUAUAGUCAUCUCUAUUCUCUCAUCUAGAUCUGAAACUGAAAAGUGAGAGAGAGAUCGAGGCGAGACCGGAGGCCGGAGAGUUCAGUUGCUCUGAGAGUGAGAGAUCGAGAGCGGUCCAGACUGUCCAGUUGCUAGUCAUCUCUAUUCUCUCAUCUAGAUCUGAAACUGAGAAGCGAGAGAGAGACCGAGGCGAGAGCCGAGUCGCCGAGACGCCGAGUGACGACUGACGACUAUCAUACUGUGGUCUGUGGUCUGUGUAGCUUCUUCUUCUCUACAGGUAGUUUUCUCUUCGUUUUUCGGUCUUAACUUUUUGGUUUUUUAGUUUUUCGUUUGAGUUACCUUGUUUUGAAGUUGAUUUUGUUCUAUGGUUUGAUUUUGUUCUAUGGUUUCAGUCUAUGAUUUUGUUCUAUCUUUUGUUUGGUUGCUGUCGCCUAUGGUUUUAGUCUAUGAUUUUGUUCUUUCUAUUGUUAUUCUGUUUGUUCCGUUUUUUUUUUUAAUUUAUGUUAAUUUAUUUUGUAAUUCUACCUGAAGUAUUGGAAGCUGCAGGGGUUAAGUUCAAUGGCUGAAAAUUGAAAUCAAGUAUAUGAACUGCAGUUACUGCAUGAAUUAGAGAUAUAGAUAAUAGAUUAGAUAUUCCUUGAAAUUACAUUUCUGGAAUCAUUAUCUUUUGUAAAAGUUCAUUUCUAGAAUCAUUACAUUUCAUGUUUAGGCCUGUUUUCAUUUGAAUUUUUACCAAACAUACAUGUUCAGAUAUUUUUAUGAAUUGUUGUUGAGAAGCAGAAUGCUUAAUUGGUUCUUAGAUUUCUUUGUAACUGGACUGGUGAUGGUUUUAUCAAUAUCACUAUAAAGUGAUCACUGAUCACAGAUAGCUCAAUGUGAUUUACUACAAUUCCAGUGCCAAUAAGAGCAUCUCGAUGAGCUUGAAUUUUUGUGUUAUGUAUAUGAAUGCAUAUGCAUGGAGAUACAUUUAGUAUGUUCGAUCUAUACAGCUUCAUAUCUUAUUUUUCUAGCACAAUAGAACUCUUGUCAUAUAUAUGCUCUGCUUGGCUGACAUGCUUGAACAGAAUCAGAUACACACAUUAUAGUGCACAAAAUAUAUGUCAUACUCUCUCUUUUUACUAUGCAGAACACUGGAAAUUCUGAAGGAGCUUAAACUGUUGUUUGGUUCGGUCACUGCCAUUCCUAUACAGGUUUUCCUAACAGGCAGGGUAUGCAAAUAUCUUACACAUAUUACUUUUCAUAUCAAUUUAAAUUCUCUAACUCAACAUAAUUCCACACAUCUUCUGAGCAAAUUCUCUAAAUUGCAGGAUCUGUUUUGAUUUUGCAGGAUCUGUUUUUAUUUGUCUGUUUUCAUUUGCAUUUGCAGGAUCUGUUUUGUAUUUGCAGGAUUUGUUUUGAUUAGGCCUCUGGCCUGUUUUCGUUUUGCAGAUGGGAUUGCAAGUAUACACCUGUUUUCAACUAAAGCAAAUGCAUUUGGUAUUUGGACCAUCUGCAUUUUCUGUUGAUGGUGAUUGGUGACAUGUCAAAUGAAAAUAUGAAAUGAAUAGUCUUGAUGUCUUAUGUCUUGGUUUGAAUUUGUGUACUUUAUCAUUUAUCAAUCGACAAUCAUUUAUCGUUGUAUGUAAAUUGUAAUAUGAUACACUGUUACAACAACAGAACUUUCUUUAGAAAGAAAGUGGAGACAGCCAGACAGGAGAGAAUAAUUGAUUAAAAUUUAGAUAUUAUUGUGAAUUUGUGAUGUACAUGUUAUUUUUAUAAAAAAAAAAAUGAAAAGGCCCGCGAGCCGGGCUAGGCCGGCCCAACCCGGGCCACAGGCCACUUAAUUUUAGCCCGCCAAAACCUAGG
RNAcentral lists this long non-coding RNA (1880 nucleotides) under Panax ginseng (ginseng). RNAcentral's name for it is "long non-coding RNA (PGIN_LNC007421)". The record is from RNAcentral. Lineage: Eukaryota; Viridiplantae; Streptophyta; Magnoliopsida; Apiales; Araliaceae.